GACGAACGCUGGCGGCGUGCUUAACACAUGCAAGUCGAGCGGUAAGGCCCUUUCGGGGGUACGACGAGCGGCGAACGGGUGAGUAACACGUGGGUGACCUGCCCUCCAGCUCUGGGGUAAGGACCCGGGAAACCGUAGGGUCGUAAUACCGGAUAUGACUUCAUGACGCAUGUUGUGGAGUGGAAAGCCUUGUGCGGCUGAGGAUGGGCCCGGCCGGCCUAUCAGCUUGUUGGUGGGGUGAUGGCCUACCAAGGCGACGACGGGUAGCCGGCCUGAGAGGGCGACCGGCCACACUGGGACUGAGAUACGGCCCAGACUCCUACGGGAGGCAGCAGUGGGGAAUCUUGCGCAAUGGGCGAAAGCCUGACGCAGCGACGCCGCGUGAGGGAUGACGGCCUG
Molecule: ribosomal RNA, 399 nt
Filed under: uncultured bacterium
Lineage: Bacteria
Description: bacterial SSU rRNA
Rfam family: Bacterial small subunit ribosomal RNA
Source: RNAcentral